This 253-nucleotide ribosomal RNA is filed under the name uncultured bacterium. RNAcentral's name for it is "partial 16S ribosomal RNA". It matches the Rfam family "Bacterial small subunit ribosomal RNA", at positions 524 to 776 of the family's 1533-position model. The record is from RNAcentral.
UACGUAGGGGGCAAGCGUUGUCUGGAUUUAUUGGGCGUAAAGCGCGUGUAGGCGGCUGGGUAGGUCCGCUGUGAAAACUCGAGGCUCAACCUCGAGACGUCGGCGGAAACCAUCCAGCUAGAGUCCGGAAGAGGAGAGUGGAAUUCCUGGUGUAGCGGUGAAAUGCGCAGAUAUCAGGAAGAACACCCGUGGCGAAGGCGGUUCUCUGGGACGGUACUGACGCUGAGACGCGAAAGCGUGGGGAGCGAACAGG